Culex pipiens pallens (northern house mosquito) is the source of this 1909-nucleotide RNA transcript. RefSeq lists it as uncharacterized. The record is from RefSeq and is a predicted model, not a curated record. Lineage: Eukaryota; Metazoa; Arthropoda; Insecta; Diptera; Culicidae. The transcript is spliced from 4 exons.
ACAAGCUCGUCGUCUGCUUAAUGGAAUUUGUCAAACGGAAUUUUAACAUUUUGCGUGUUUAUUGAUUUAAAUAACAAAUUAGUCAGAUUAUCAUCCUCAAUGUCAUCAGCAGCUCGCACUCGGUCGGUUGGAGAUCUCUAAUGGCUGUCUAAACCGCGUUCGUCGCUAACUUCGUUGCAGUCGAUUGGCGGGGGUGACUUUGGCCAGGUCGAACCUGUAUACGCAGUUCUGCGGCGUAGCUGAACACGUUGUGUCGACCUCCAGCGAAGCUCCGCGCCCAAAACCUGUACCGAUUCUGGUUCAUCAAUCAAAAGACUUGCGCGCGCGCGCAAGGAAACGAACCUGCUUAUUUCGGGGAGGUCGUCGAAGGUUGUUGGGCACAUUUCUUCGACCGCACCCUGGCCAAAUCUGAACAUUUGGACUUGCUACAUCAGUGUGGUAGUGAUGCUGUAAGCGACUCGGCGAAAAAAAAACCUGCAACUGUGAGGUCACUGGCUGCGAUGUUGGCUGUGUUUAUGUCCAAUUUCGACCUAUUCCUCCAGAUAUUGUAAAUUUCCGCGGUUCGCGCGCGCUCGCAGUCUGCGUUCGCCGCUGGACCGGUUCGGUUGGUGUGAAUUUUUUUUCGGUGAUUUUGACUCUCCAUCUCAUUUUUUUUGGCAGCAACAGCGGCGGCUAUCAAGAAAGUUUACAUAACCCACGGUGCACGUGUAAAAUUGGUUGGAAAAAUUACUGACCCACAGCCGCUGGGGGUCGCGAAGAAGAAGAAAAAAAAGCGAUAAAGCGCAGUGAAACAGUGAAGAAGAAAAAAUAAAAUCAUCAACCGGAAAGUAAGCCACUAGUGAGAAAACGAAAGUGAGAAGUGAGAAAAGAUUGGAAGGUCUAGUGAGUGGUGAAAAUGCGGGAAAACUUCUUCCUGCUGGUGGGGACGGCCUGCGUUCUGGUGGGCCUUCAGGUGGCCCGAUCGGAGCUCAGUGCGGACGAGGUUGAGUACGACGAGGAAGGCUUCUGGAUCGGACACGGACUGGGCAGUAGGAAAGAGGGUGACGAAAUCCUCAAGAUCCUGUACAAAUCGGUGGGCCCGUUCAGCGAACCACAAAAUGUCACCCUGGUGGAAAAGUUCAACGCUGGCGACGGAGAAAGCAUCACUUUCACGCAGUUCAACUCGUCGAAGGUCCUCACAUACUUCCGCGAGGUGGUGCUGGACUUCAACCCGAAGAACUUCUACAUCAAGCUGAACCUGUACAACAUCACGAACCUGCGGCUACAGCGAACCGUGUACGGCCACCGGUCACCAAACGCGCUCAAGAGACGAUCGAAUCUCGUCUGAGGAAAAAGAAACACGCCACUGAGUAGUUGUAUAGAUUUAGGGCAUCGCAGCUAAGACUAACGGUAGGCAACCCUAGAAGUAUUAUAAAACUGUUUAGCUGAUAGAUCGUCUAGGAGUUAAGUUUAAUCACCGAUAAUACCCCGUUUCAAACGCGAAGUAUUUUGCUAGGACUCACAAAACCAAAAAGAAGUAUGUUGAAACUUGAAUCGUAUGUAGUAUUUUAUAGAAGAAGAAAAACACGUCAACUUUAAGAAAGUUACUCGUUUGCAAGAUUGCACCAUCGUCCCCACACUAACCGAUUGUACAAACUUAAGUUUAGCGCUCAAAAUCAGCCUUCCCUAAAUCAAAACCAUUGAAAAUAUCGAUUCGUUCAAAAACAUACCUCAAACAUUACACAAUCACAGCCAAACAAAAUAAACGCAGGUCAUUGAGACUGUAAUCACACAACCCCCCCGACAGGAAUUUAUGUCAAACAAACAAACCGCAAAUCGUUAAAUACUCAGAAGUGAAAAAAUGGUGCUCGAACAUACGAACAGAAUUAAUAAAUGCAAAUAAACAAACACAAACAGACACAAAACGUAG